AAACGGAGGUGGGGGCAGCACAGCCAGUUGCAGCUGCUAAGCUCACUGGAGACAGAGGGUUUUCUCAGCUCAUCUGGGACCCCAGCGGAAGAGAGAGCCGGCGUCUCCUGGCUGCUCUUGUGAUUGUCCGCUGUGAGAUGUGUCUUCAGUUGAAGUGUGUGAAGAAACCACCUCAAAGUCUGCCAUUGCAGAUGCCCUACCCAGUCCUGUCUUGCCAACACCCGACCUGAGCUUGGGCUCCGCGUGGGCGCUCGGCAUACGCGUGUGGGACAAGUGAGGACAUUACCCCCGUGCAGGGCCUGGCAUGCGCGACCACAGUGCCGGCAUUGAGGAUUCACAUUCUCCAGUCCGGGGAUUCAGACCUGCCACGUUCCGCCCAGCAGGAAAAAUUCAGAGCUGACAUGAAUUCAGGCCCCACGUGCAUGACUCUCAGUGAGUAAAGACAUCAAGACAAUCUCACCCUUUGUCAGA
Molecule: long non-coding RNA, 471 nt
Organism: Erinaceus europaeus (western European hedgehog)
Lineage: Eukaryota; Metazoa; Chordata; Mammalia; Eulipotyphla; Erinaceidae
Exons: 3
Source: RefSeq, a predicted model, not a curated record